AGUGAACGCUGGCGGCAGGCCUAAUACAUGCAAGUCGAACGGCAGCACAGCAGAGCUUGCUCUGUGGGUGGCGAGUGGCGGACGGGUGAGGAAUACAUGGGAAUCUGCCCAGUCGUGGGGGAUAACGUAUGGAAACGUACGCUAAUACCGCAUGCGCCCUAAGGGGGAAAGCCGGGGACCGCAAGGCCUGGCGCGAUUGGAUGAGCCCAUGUUCGAUUAGCUAGUUGGCGGGGUAAAGGCCCACCAAGGCGACGAUCGAUAGCUGGUCUGAGAGGAUGAUCAGCCACACUGGAACUGAGACACGGUCCAGACUCCUACGGGAGGCAGCAGUAGGGAAUAUUGGACAAUGGGGGCAACCCUGAUCCAGCCAUGCCGCGUGAGUGAAGAAGGCCCUCGGGUUGUAAAGCUCUUUUGUCCGGAAAGAAAAGCAUCUGGUUAAUACCCGGGUUUCUGACGGUACCGAAGAAUAAGCACCGGCUAACUUCGUGCCAG
This 492-nucleotide ribosomal RNA is filed under the name uncultured bacterium. RNAcentral's name for it is "bacterial SSU rRNA". It matches the Rfam family "Bacterial small subunit ribosomal RNA", at positions 29 to 511 of the family's 1533-position model. The record is from RNAcentral.